Non-coding RNA from Ilex paraguariensis (yerba mate), 74 nucleotides. The record is from the annotation of a GenBank genome assembly. NCBI's taxonomy places the organism in Eukaryota, Viridiplantae, Streptophyta, Magnoliopsida, Aquifoliales, Aquifoliaceae.
GCAUUCAUGGUUGAAUGGUUAAUGUGCUCAACUCAUAAUUGACGAAUUCGUAAGUUCAAUUCUUACUGGAUGCA